RNAcentral lists this small nuclear RNA (106 nucleotides) under Peromyscus maniculatus bairdii (prairie deer mouse). The record is from RNAcentral. Lineage: Eukaryota; Metazoa; Chordata; Mammalia; Rodentia; Cricetidae.
GUGCUCCCUUGGCAGCACAUAGACUAAAAUUGGAACAACACAGAGAAGAUUAGCAUGGCCCCUGCACAAGGAUGACACGCAAAUUCAUCAAGUGUCUUAUGUCUUU